Molecule: long non-coding RNA, 2570 nt
Organism: Homo sapiens (human)
Lineage: Eukaryota; Metazoa; Chordata; Mammalia; Primates; Hominidae
Exons: 3
Source: RefSeq, a predicted model, not a curated record
GCUUCCGCCGCGGAAGCCCCAGGGGCGGGGCUUAUUAGGGGCGGUGCUAAAAGCAGCAAUGCAAGGUAGCGUUAACGUUUCUGAGGCUGAAGGAGGUAGGGCCUGAGAGCUAAGUGGUAAUUCUGUUUUGUAAUGAUCCUAAGAUAAUAAUGGUAAUUAUAGUAAGUCGGGCAUUGUGUCCUAAAUGUUAUAACUUUUACUUGACUCGGCAAAUAUGACUGUACAAAGUGAGGGAAGACUGGAAAGUCAGAUGAGAUAUGAACAAAUAUAACUAACCAAAUACAUUUCUGUGACAACAAUGAAAAGCACACUGUCUGUAGCAAUUUAGUGAUAAUAUUGUACUGCAUAUCAGUCAGGCCACAGGUGGAGUACUGCACUCCAUGUACCACACUUUGAAGAGAUUUUACAGGCCGGGCCGGCUCACACCUGUAAUCCCAGCACCUGGGGAGACCAAGGCGGGCGGAUCACCUGAGGUCGCAAGUUCAAAACCAGCCUGACAAGCAUGGAGAAACCCUGUCUCUACUAAAAAUACAAAAUUAGCCGGGCGUGGUGGUGCAUGCCUGUAAUCCCAACUACUAGGGAGGCUGAGGCAGGAGAAUCGCUUGAACCCGGGAGGGGAGGUUGCGGUGAGCCGAGAUCGCGCCAUUGCACUCCAGCCUGGGCAACAAGAGCGAAACUCCAUCUCAAAAAAAAAAAAAGAAAAGAAAAAAGAAGAGAGAGAUUCUACAGAGACAUAUUGGAGCUCGCUCAAAUGUGAGCCACCAGAUAAGGGCUGCUGGAAGGAGGCGAAGAAAGAUGACUCAGAACAUGACAUCUGUCUUCAUGUGAAAGAAUGGGUAGAACUGAUGUGGCACUACGAAUUAUCUGUAGGGCAAAGGACUGGAAGUUAAUUGAAGAUAGAUUUUAAUUCAAAACAAGGAUCAGUUCUUUAAGAGUCUGAAGAAGGGUUAUUUUAGGAAGUAGCUGCCUCUGCCCCCUUCCCACCUGUUGCAGUGGAUCAAAUAUACACUGAAUCACUACCUCAUUCAUUCAACACUCAUUUCAUGAAGGCUUAACGCAUUGCUGUGGGGCUUACUCUGCCGCCGACCUGGGGCCUAGCUAGGCUUUGUAGUCUAUAUAGUCUCAUAGUCCUGCAAACUGGCUCCAGCCCAGGAAAUCACCCUGUGUAGGAGUGGCUGCAGUCAAGACGCAGGAAGACAAUCCUGAGGGGACCUGACAUCCAGCAUCUGAGUUCAGACUACUAUAGUUUGAAUAAGUGACCUGCAGAUUCAUUACACACAAGGGAACAUGUCUUCCUUUUGUUGGAUUGAACUCUGUGAUACCAAGCAGUCAAAACUACCUGUCAGAUGUCCAAUCCCUGAUCCAGAAUUUCAAGGAGCUGUGGAGGCAGCUGUACAAUGGGAGUGUCAUAAACCAGAGAACUUUGUGUCCAGGCUAUGUCUAUUAGGUGAGUAUAUGGUGAGAAGGCAGCUGUCUGUGAACCAGAAGGAGGGCCCUCACCAAGAAGUGACCAUGCUGGCACCCUGAUCUUGGACUUCUGGCAUCUGGAACUAUCUAGCUAGUUUAAAGAUGAAAACUGCAGCAGAUGAGAAAGAAAAAUACAACUGGAAAACUUGGAUGAAUUAGAAACACUAAACAGUUUUCAGGAAAGCUGAGUAUCAGAGAAAAACAGAUGCUGGAGGAAAAGAAAAAAAGAGGACACAAAAACUGUCCUGGCCAAAGGGGUCAUGACCACACAUUAUCCUUGGAUGAGGGCUUCCUUUAUGGUGACAAUUGAACAGAAGCAUUUAGAGCAGAUUACAAUGCAUAUUAUACGUACAAUGAAAUCAUUGAAACAGAAAAAAGAGCCAAAAUUGAUGUCUUUGCCUUAAAUCUUGCUUCUUUCUAGUUUAUUCUCUCCACAGUGGUCGGGGCAGUCUGAGAGAAUACGGUGGAAUCGAUGGUAUGCGACUUCCAAGGUUAGGUCAUAAAAGACAUUGAAGUUUCUGCUUUGUCUCUUGAAUCACUUUCUCUGGGGGAAACCAGCUACUGGGUCAUAAGGACACUCAAGCAGCACCAUGGAGGGGCCCAAGUGGAGAGAAACCAACUUGCCAGCAUUAACUUGGUAGUUGUGCAGCCAUGUGAAUGAGUGGAUCCUACCAUCCUAGUCAAACCUCUGAUAACUGAAGGUCCCACCUAUAUUUGACUGCAGUCUUCCAACAGACCCCACCCAAGCUGCUCUAGGAUUCCUGACCUACAGAAACUGUGAGGGAUAAGAUAUGCUUGUUGUUUUAACCCACUAAGUUUUAGAGUGAUUUGUUACACAGCAAUAUACAACAAAUACACAAGUCAUCACAGGUAAUAUUUUUAUUAAAUAUUUGCAUAGUACAAACCUGGGUCUCCAUCUUUGUAGGCUUUGAUUUUUGUUUUUUACCAAUCACUGACUGUUAAGCCACAUAUUUUAAGUUUUUGUUACAAUCACACCUAACCUCAAUGUACCAAUUUCUGUAAAUAGAUAAUGCUAGGUACCGUAACCGAUAAAUCUUGACAUCUGAGUGGAUUAAUACAAUAAAAGUUUAUUUUUCAUCUCA